This 497-nucleotide ribosomal RNA is filed under the name uncultured bacterium. RNAcentral's name for it is "bacterial SSU rRNA". It matches the Rfam family "Bacterial small subunit ribosomal RNA", at positions 28 to 518 of the family's 1533-position model. The record is from RNAcentral.
GAUUAACGCUAGCGGCAGGCCUAAUACAUGCAAGUCGAGGGGCAGCAGGGUGUAGCAAUACAUCGCUGGCGACCGGCGCACGGGUGCGUAACACGUAUGCAACCUACCUUUAACUGGGGAAUAGCCCUCCGAAAGGAGGAUUAACACCGCAUAACAUCACGAGACGGCAUCGCCUUGUGAUCAAACCUCCGGGGGUUAAAGAUGGGCAUGCGUCCGAUUAGCUAGUUGGCGGGGUAACGGCCCACCAAGGCGACGAUCGGUAGGGGUCUGAGAGGAUGAUCCCCCACACUGGUACUGAGACACGGACCAGACUCCUACGGGAGGCAGCAGUAAGGAAUAUUGGACAAUGGUCGCAAGACUGAUCCAGCCAUGCCGCGUGCAGGAUGAACGAUCUAUGAUCUGUAAACUGCUUUUGUUCGGGAAUAAACCCCUUCACGUGUGGAGGGCUGAAUGUACCGAAAGAAUAAGGGUCGGCUAACUUCGUGCCAGCAGCCGAC